Molecule: ribosomal RNA, 483 nt
Filed under: uncultured bacterium
Lineage: Bacteria
Description: partial 16S ribosomal RNA
Rfam family: Bacterial small subunit ribosomal RNA
Source: RNAcentral
AUUGAACGCUGGCGGCAGGCCUAACACAUGCAAGUCGAGCGGAUGAAGGGAGCUUGCUCCUGGAUUCAGCGGCGGACGGGUGAGUAAUGCCUAGGAAUCUGCCUGGUAGUGGGGGAUAACGUCCGGAAACGGGCGCUAAUACCGCAUACGUCCUGAGGGAGAAAGUGGGGGAUCUUCGGACCUCACGCUAUCAGAUGAGCCUAGGUCGGAUUAGCUAGUUGGUGGGGUAAAGGCCUACCAAGGCGACGAUCCGUAACUGGUCUGAGAGGAUGAUCAGUCACACUGGAACUGAGACACGGUCCAGACGCCGACGGGAGGCAGCAGUGGGGAAUAUUGGACAAUGGGCGAAAGCCUGAUCCAGCCAUGCCGCGUGUGUGAAGAAGGUCUUCGGAUUGUAAAGCACUUUAAGUUGGGAGGAAGGGCAGUAAGUUAAUACCUUGCUGUUUUGACGUUACCAACAGAAUAAGCACCGGCUAACUUCGU